Molecule: long non-coding RNA, 851 nt
Filed under: Equus caballus (horse)
Lineage: Eukaryota; Metazoa; Chordata; Mammalia; Perissodactyla; Equidae
Description: lncRNA (ENSECAG00000059488.1)
Source: RNAcentral
UGUGGUAAAGUAGCCCUCAUACCCAUUAACAAUUCACAACUCAGCUCUGCAAAUGGAGCAGAGAACGAACCUGAUCAUUAGUGGAAACUACUAUUGUCAGCACUAAUAAAGAACCUCUCCUUCUUCCCCUGAAGGACCCUGGUAUCAAGCAACCCACAAAGCCUUACACUUGAGUCAGCCUGAAUGACAACAGCUGUGAAAAUUUCUUAUCAAAAUCAGUGCUUCUCAAAGAGUGACCUCUUCAACAAAUGAUGCUGGGACAACUGGGCAUCCACAUGCAAAAGAAUGAAGUUGGACCUCUACCUCAUACCAUAUACAAAAACCAACUCGAAACGGACCAAAGACCUAGAAGUAAGAGCUAAAACUAUGAAACUCCUAGAAGAAAGCUUAGGGAUAUAUCUUCAUGACCUUGGACUUGGCAAAGUAUUCUUAGAUAUUAGACAAAAAGCAUGAGCCACAAAAGAAAAAUAGAUAAAUUGGACUUCAAAAUUAAAAACUUUUGUGCAUCAAAGGACACCAUCAAGAAAGUGAAAAGACAACCCACAAAAAGGGACAAAAGAUUUGCACAUCAUAAAGGGUCUAGUAUCCAGCAUAUGUAAAGAACUUUUACAACUUGACAGCAAAAAGACAAACAACCCAAGAAGAAGUGGCAAUGGAUUUUAGUGAAUGGCUAACAGCCCCUGCCACAGAAGGCGAGUCAAGAACUUGUGCCUUAUGGAAUACUACUCAGCUGCAAAACAGAACAAAAUCAUUCCAUUUGCAAUAACAUGGAUGGACCUUGAGAGAAUUAUGUUAAGUGAAAUAAGCCAGCGAGAGAAAGAUAAUCUGUGUAUGACUCCACUCAUACGAGG